Molecule: long non-coding RNA, 2781 nt
Organism: Macaca mulatta (Rhesus monkey)
Lineage: Eukaryota; Metazoa; Chordata; Mammalia; Primates; Cercopithecidae
Source: Ensembl
GUGCAUUCUGCGGGUCCCUGUCCUGGCUGGCUCCCGGCUUGUCCUGAGGGCGUGCGCGCGUGGGGUCCCAGGCAGGCGUGCCCUCCAGUGUGAGUGCGAGUGAGUGUGGCCCCACCCAGCUCUCUCUGCUCUGUGCUGCCCGCGCAGCCCGCACACUCAUCCUGCGUGGUUGCUGCUGGGUGACACCAGCAGCUCACCCUGCUUGGUUACAGCGGGUGGUUGCUGGGCCGGCCCCCUGCCUGCCAGCCUCUGGCGCACACUGGCGCUGGCGGUCGCAGAGGCCCCGCCGUGCCCCGCGUGGCCUGCUGAGCCGCCCCUGGGCCGGGGUCCCUCCGGGCCAUGCCGUGCCCAGGCGGUGCAGCGCUGCCUGUAUGACCUCCCUCCGCGGCGCGGGGAAAAGGCGACCAUCUGCCUCCAGGAGCAUGUGGCCAUCGACAUGUACCCCGGACCCAAAUCUCUGGCUACUUCCCGCGGGACCUGCCCCAUGACGCCCCCGCGUGCCUGGCCACCUCCGAAGUCGCCCGCGACGACGGCGAGGAUGGGGACCAUCUCUUCGGAGCCUAAGAAUCCAGCACUGCGCAGCAGCCCUCCAAGCCGCCAGAGGACGAGCUGGACGCCGAAGGCUACGAGUGGACGACUGCAGACCUGAAGCCCGUGGACCACAAUGGGCUGUCAGACCCCUGUGUCAAGCUGCACCUGCGGCCAGGAGCCAGGAGGAAGGUGAGGGAGUUUUACCCUGGCUUGCCCACCAGCUGUGACCACUCAUGGCGAUGGGGCCUGGACUGGGCUGGGGGCACCCAGGGAGGCCCACAGAUGCCACUCCUCCUCAGAGCCCAAGCAAGCCGAUGAGACCUCAGCCAUUUACCUCCAUGCAGAGCAGCCGGUCUGUCCCACACCUGGGAUGCCUUCCAGCAUAACCUACCUGCUGAUCUGGAGAAAGCCCUGGAGAAUUUCCAGGCUGGUUUUUUAUAAGAAGCAUUCUCAGCUGGAGGUUGCUAUGAUGUGCCAACAAAGAACUGUGGUCAGAUCACAUUGGAAAACAUUAUUAAACCAGUUUCUUUACUGCAGGACUUAACCAGAGCCUUUAAUGUGCUGAUGGGCUGUUCCUUGACUCUCAGUAAAGGGGAUGAAGUAGGCAGCAUCUGCCCAAUGUAUUUGACCACAGAAUCCUCAUUCCCACGAGAGAUGGGCCAAAAGACCAACCACAAAUGCAGUUAAGGCACCAGCACAACACAUGCAUCUAGGAGAGGAGAGAAAAAAAAUGCUAUUAAAUAAAAGCAUCAAGGUGAUCUUGAGCCAUGAAAAAUCAGAACUUCUUAGACUUACUUCCUUCUGUGCAUCCUACACUUCAGUGUUGUUUUAUUUUUAAUUUCAUAGGGCAGAAUCUGAGUUGACUUGGGGACCUAAAUGUGCAUGCCUGGGGCCCACCGCAGUCCAGGAGGACCACCCCAGAGGGGAACAUUGCGUCUUCUCUGGGGAAGGCAGGGCUGUAGGAAACACGGCAGUGCCCCACCACCUACUCCUGGGGAAGAAAUGGCUCCUCACACCAGGCCUCGAUGUCCUUACGCUGCAAGUGGAGCUCAGGGAUGUGAGAGCCAAGAGCGAGUGUAACCAGAGAAGUGUGCCCAACGGGGGGGCUCAGUGACCCCUAACUCGUGGGACUGGAGCUGGCAGGGCCUGUUGUAGGAAGUCCCCGGGACUCUCCCCAGUGUUUUAUAAAGAGCAGUCUCCUUACAGGCAAGCUCCUGAAAGCUGUGCGAGAGAGGGAUUCCUGUGUCCUUUCCACGGUGGGGAACCUGACGCUGCCACAGAGCUGGAAUUGGAACCCGGUUGCCUGACCUCCAAGCCUGGGCCGGGGUGGCGGGCAUCAGACUGAGUCAGACACGGAGCUCAGAGUCACUGGCACAGGAGAAGGAGUUGUGGCAAUGUUCCAGCUCAGAGAGGUCACUGCACGAGCAUGCCCAAGGACAGGAUGGGUUCCAGGCAAAGGGGACAGUCCGCAGAGACAGGGCAUGCCCUCGGAAGGAGACUUCAUUUCCACACCAGGCGUCCUGCAGAACCCACCCAAGGGCAUCGGGGCUGGAGCUGGGAUCCUCCUUGGAUGAAUCUCCUAUGGCUGCUGCAGCAAAUGAGCUUAGAGGCUUAGAGCAGCACACUUACUAUCUCACAGCUCUGCAGGUUAGAAGUCCAACAGCGGUCUCCCUGGGCUCAUGUCAAGGUGUUGGCAGGGCUGCAUUCCUUCUGGAGCCUGGGGAUUCCACCCAUUUCCUGGCUCUUUCCAGCUUCUAGAGGUCGCCUGCCCUCCUUGGCUGGUGGCCCCUUCCUCCAUCUUCACAGCCGUCCCGGUUGCAUCUCCCUGACCUUCUUCCUUGGUGACAUCUCGCUCUCUCUUCUCUGUUCUUUCUUCUGCUUUUAAGAAGCAUGUGACCACAUUGGGCCACUCAGACAGUCUAGGAUAAUCUCCCUAUUUUAAAGUCAGCUAAUUAACAACCCUAACUCCAUCUGCAGGCUCAGUUCCCCUUGGCAUAUCAAUAACAUAUCCACAGCUUUGGAGAUGAGGACAUGGCCAUCUCUGGGGCAUUGUUCUGUCUACCACACCCUUUGAUGCUAAUAAGAUCAUUUUUUCCUUUCUCCAGGCAAAUAAGCUCAGAACAAAACUCUCCGUAACACUGUGAACCCCGCGUGGAACAAAACCCUCAUUUCCUAUAGGAUCACAGGUGAAGACAUGACCCACAAGACCCUGCAGUGGGUGAGGGCCCUCGGCUGCCUGCUCCCUCCCCA